Molecule: ribosomal RNA, 327 nt
Filed under: uncultured eukaryote
Lineage: Eukaryota
Description: partial 18S ribosomal RNA
Rfam family: Eukaryotic small subunit ribosomal RNA
Source: RNAcentral
CCCUUAGAUGUUCUGGGCUGCACGCGCGCUACACUGAAGCGUUCAACGAGUAUUCACCUUGCCCGGGAGGGUUGGGUAAUCUUUUUAAAACGCUUCGUGAUGGGGAUAGAUUAUUGCAAUUAUUAAUCUUCAACGAGGAAUUCCUAGUAAGCGCGAGUCAUCAGCUCGUGCUGAUUACGUCCCUGCCCUUUGUACACACCGCCCGUCGCUCCUACCGAUUGGGUGUGCUGGUGAAAUGUUCGGAUCGGCCGUUUGUCGCGGUUUCCGCGGCUCGUGGCUGAGAAGUUCAUUAAACCCUCCCACCUAGAGGAAGGAGAAGUCGUAACA